CCCAGCAAUGGGGGAACCGGCGUAAGGGGCAGUAAUGCGUGGGUGACCUACCCGGGGGUCCGGGAUAGCCGUCCGAGAGGGCGGGUAAUCCCGGAUGACCUCGUAAGAGCAAAGCUCCGGCGCCCCCGGAGGGGCCCACGUGGUAUUAGGUAGUUGGCGGGGUAACGGCCCACCAAGCCUGGGAUGCCUAGCGGGUGUGAGAGCACGACCCGCGCCACUGGCACUGAGACACUGGUCAGACACCUACGGGUGGCUGCAGUCGAGGAUCUUCGGCAAUGGGCGCAAGCCUGACCGAGCGACGCCGCGUGCGCGAUGAAGGCCCUCGGGUUGUAAAGCGCUGUCGAGGGGGAGAAACGCCGCAAGGCUUGAUCUAUCCCUGGAGGAAGCACGGGCUAAGUUCGUGCCAGCAGCCGCGGUAAGACGAACCGUGCGAACGUU
This 438-nucleotide ribosomal RNA is filed under the name uncultured bacterium. Its description in RNAcentral is "bacterial SSU rRNA". It matches the Rfam family "Bacterial small subunit ribosomal RNA", at positions 75 to 542 of the family's 1533-position model. The record is from RNAcentral.